Molecule: ribosomal RNA, 550 nt
Filed under: uncultured bacterium
Lineage: Bacteria
Description: bacterial SSU rRNA
Rfam family: Bacterial small subunit ribosomal RNA
Source: RNAcentral
UAGGGAAUCUUCGGCAAUGGGGGGAACCCUGACCGAGCAACGCCGCGUGAGUGAAGAAGGUUUUCGGAUCGUAAAGCUCUGUUGUUAAGGAAGAACGAGUGUGAGAAUGGAAAGUUCAUACUGUGACGGUACUUAACCAGAAAGGGACGGCUAACUACGUGCCUGCAGCCGCGGUAAUACGUAGGUCCCGAGCGUUGUCCGGAUUUAUUGGGCGUAAAGCGAGCGCAGGCGGUUAGAUAAGUCUGAAGUUAAAGGCAGUGGCUCAACCAUUGUAGGCUUUGGAAACUGUUUAACUUGAGUGCAGAAGGGGAGAGUGGAAUUCCAUGUGUAGCGGUGAAAUGCGUAGAUAUAUGGAGGAACACCGGUGGCGAAAGCGGCUCUCUGGUCUGUAACUGACGCUGAGGCUCGAAAGCGUGGGGAGCGAACAGGAUUAGAUACCCUGGUAGUCCACGCCGUAAACGAUGAGUGCUAGGUGUUAGGUCCUUUCCGGGACUUAGUGCCGCAGCUAACGCAUUAAGCACUCCGCCUGGGGAGUACGACCGCAAGGUUG